CUGACCUCAAUGUAUCCUGAAGCUAAACAUUUACAGCAGUCUUUGAGUUUGACUCACAGGAGGAUGCUCUUCUGAUCUGAGAAGCUCCUUUAAUGCAGAACAGAAUUAAACACUAAUCCAGUGUUUAUUCUUUAUCUUUCUAUAUUACUCUAAUAAAUAACAAUAAAGAUUCCUGAUAAGCAACAUUUUUCAGUAGGCUACAGAAAAGUAUUUUAUGUAUGAAUAUGAGCUAUAACAUACAGUACAGUAACACAAAGAUAUUUGUUGUUGCCACAGGGUGGAGCUCUGAAGCCUGAUGUUAAACAGCAGAUCAAGCUAAAUGUGACUGAAUCAAGGUUGAGUUUGACACUUCAAGCUUUCAGACUACUGAGCAGUCACCAUGUUUACUGUUGUCUUCAUUGUAGUUUCACUGCUUAAGGAGAGUGCUGAUGCAUAUUCAAUAGAAUCUCUCUUACCAGAACAGCAUGUUUCAGUUGGACAAAGUGCUGUUAUCUCUUGCAAAUACAGUGGCAUUGGGCCCAGCUUUUAUUGGUACCGCCAAUAUCCAGGAUCCAGACCUGAGUACCUUAUUUUUAAUGCAGAGACUGGCGUUUCUUCCGAACCCUCUUUACGUCUCAAAGCACAGGCUAAAAAAGCGAUCACAGAAGUGGAACUGGAGAUCUCCUCUACUGAAGUCAAAGACUCUGCUGUAUAUUACUGCGCUCUGAGGCCCACAGUGACAGGAAACACAAGAACACUGAACAAAAACCCUGAUUUCAGUCAGAUGAUUGUGUACUUCACUGUAAAAACAUUUUUGUGUGUGUGUGUUACUGAUUUUAUUCUAUUGUUUAACACUUCAGUGAAUAAUCCAACCAUAUUGUUUCAGUUAUACAUAAAACUAUAAUAUCAUGUUUGAUUUCAGUUAGAAUAAAAAUGCAGAAUAUAUUCAUCAUAUUCCAGUAUAAGUUGGUAUUUUUAUAUGACUGUAUAUUAUAUUAUUUUAGUUUGUCUCUUUGGUAAGAAAGCUUCAGUAACUUAGUAAGUAAACUCAGU
Molecule: long non-coding RNA, 1032 nt
Filed under: Carassius auratus (goldfish)
Lineage: Eukaryota; Metazoa; Chordata; Actinopteri; Cypriniformes; Cyprinidae
Description: lncRNA (ENSCARG00000017164.1)
Source: RNAcentral